GUGCCAGCCGCCGCGGUAAUACGUAGGUGGCAAGCGUUGUCCGGAUUUAUUGGGCGUAAAGCGAGCGCAGGCGGUUUCUUAAGUCUGAUGUGAAAGCCUUCGGCUCAACCCGAAGAAGUGCAUCGGAAACUGGGAAACUUGAGUGCAGAAGAGGACAGUGGAACUCCAUGUGUAGCGGUGAAAUGCGUAGAUAUAUGGAAGAACACCAGUGGCGAAGGCGGCUGUCUGGUCUGUAACUGACGCUGAGGCUCGAAAGCAUGGGUAGCAAACAGGAUUAGAUACCCUGGUAGUCCAUGCCGUAAACGAUGAGUGCUAGGUGUUGGAGGGUUUCCGCCCUUCAGUGCCGCAGCUAACGCAUUAAGCACUCCGCCUGGGGAGUACGACCGCAAGGUUGAAACUCAAAGGAAUUGACGGGGGCCCGCACAAGCGGUGGAGCAUGUGGUUUAAUUCGAAGCAACGCGAAGAACCUUACCAGGUCUUGACAUCCUUUGACCACUCUAGAGAUAGAGCUUUCCCUUCGGGGACAAAGUGACAGGUGGUGCAUGGUUGUCGUCAGCUCGUGUCGUGAGAUGUUGGGUUAAGUCCCGCAACGAGCGCAACCCUUAUUACUAGUUGCCAGCAUUUAGUUGGGCACUCUAGUGAGACUGCCGGUGACAAACCGGAGGAAGGUGGGGACGACGUCAAAUCAUCAUGCCCCUUAUGACCUGGGCUACACACGUGCUACAAUGGAUGGUACAACGAGUUGCGAGACCGCGAGGUUUAGCUAAUCUCUUAAAACCAUUCUCAGUUCGGAUUGUAGGCUGCAACUCGCCUACAUGAAGCCGGAAUCGCUAGUAAUCGCGGAUCAGCAUGCCGCGGUGAAUACGUUCCCGGGCCUUGUACACACCGCCCGU
RNAcentral lists this ribosomal RNA (893 nucleotides) under uncultured bacterium. Its description in RNAcentral is "bacterial SSU rRNA". It matches the Rfam family "Bacterial small subunit ribosomal RNA", at positions 505 to 1397 of the family's 1533-position model. The record is from RNAcentral.